Long non-coding RNA from Dermochelys coriacea (leatherback sea turtle), 194 nucleotides. RefSeq lists it as uncharacterized. The transcript has 3 exons. NCBI's taxonomy places the organism in Eukaryota, Metazoa, Chordata, Testudines, Dermochelyidae. The record is from RefSeq and is a predicted model, not a curated record.
AUUUAUUAGAGCAUAAGCUUUCGUGAGCUACAGCUCACUUCAUCGGAUGCAUUUGUGGGCUGUGGCUCACGAGGGCUUGUGCUCUAGUGGAUUUGUUGGUCUCUGGGGUGCCACGGGUGCUCCUUUUCUUUUUGCGAGUACAGACUAGCACGGCUGCUACUCUGAAACCUGCUAAAGAGGAUCUUAGGGAUAAU